Molecule: ribosomal RNA, 619 nt
Filed under: uncultured Pseudomonadota bacterium
Lineage: Bacteria; Pseudomonadati; Pseudomonadota
Description: bacterial SSU rRNA
Rfam family: Bacterial small subunit ribosomal RNA
Source: RNAcentral
UGGCGGACGGGUGAGUAAUGUCUGGGAAACUGCCUGAUGGAGGGGGAUAACUACUGGAAACGGUAGCUAAUACCGCAUAACGUCGCAAGACCAAAGAGGGGGACCUUCGGGCCUCUUGCCAUCGGAUGUGCCCAGAUGGGAUUAGCUAGUAGGUGGGGUAACGGCUCACCUAGGCGACGAUCCCUAGCUGGUCUGAGAGGAUGACCAGCCACACUGGAACUGAGACACGGUCCAGACUCCUACGGGAGGCAGCAGUGGGGAAUAUUGCACAAUGGGCGCAAGCCUGAUGCAGCCAUGCCGCGUGUAUGAAGAAGGCCUUCGGGUUGUAAAGUACUUUCAGCGGGGAGGAAGGGAGUAAAGUUAAUACCUUUGCUCAUUGACGUUACCCGCAGAAGAAGCACCGGCUAACUCCGUGCCAGCAGCCGCGGUAAUACGGAGGGUGCAAGCGUUAAUCGGAAUUACUGGGCGUAAAGCGCACGCAGGCGGUUUGUUAAGUCAGAUGUGAAUCCCCGGGCUCAACCUGGGAACUGCAUCUGAUACUGGCAAGCUUGAGUCUCGUAGAGGGGGGUAGAAUUCCAGGUGUAGCGGUGAAAUGCGUAGAGAUCUGGAGGAAUACCGG